ACAGCAGUAGCCGCGGUAAUACAGAGGGUGCGAGCGUUAAUCGGAUUUACUGGGCGUAAAGCGUGCGUAGGCGGCUUUUUAAGUCGGAUGUGAAAUCCCUGAGCUUAACUUAGGAAUUGCAUUCGAUACUGGGAAGCUAGAGUAUGGGAGAGGAUGGUAGAAUUCCAGGUGUAGCGGUGAAAUGCGUAGAGAUCUGGAGGAAUACCGAUGGCGAAGGCAGCCAUCUGGCCUAAUACUGACGCUGAGGUACGAAAGCAUGGGGAGCAAACAGGAUUAGAGACCCCAGUAGUCCCUGUCUCUUAUAA
RNAcentral lists this ribosomal RNA (305 nucleotides) under uncultured bacterium. Its description in RNAcentral is "partial 16S ribosomal RNA". It matches the Rfam family "Bacterial small subunit ribosomal RNA", at positions 508 to 809 of the family's 1533-position model. The record is from RNAcentral.